This is a long non-coding RNA of Bufo bufo (common toad), 315 nucleotides long. RefSeq lists it as uncharacterized. The record is from RefSeq and is a predicted model, not a curated record. NCBI's taxonomy places the organism in Eukaryota, Metazoa, Chordata, Amphibia, Anura, Bufonidae. The transcript has 3 exons.
GAAAAGUCAGAUCGAAAGUGAAACCAGGGUCUGUCCUGUAUAAAUAGAGGACGAUUUUCUUUCUAUCCCAGAGCUCUGCAGAAGAUCACAAACCUCUGCAUCCUGCUUGAAGGACUCCGGAGAAAGACUUCCAUGUAACAUCUGGAGUUCUGCAAAAAUGCCAAAAAGGCAAGUAUUUUAGACAAGGAGUAAAUCAUUUGCAAUAAUAUAAUAUCGUAGUAAAUGUGCUGAAGAAUGGAUAUGCGCAAAGAACUGCUAAUUUUCAUAUAAUGCUGAUUGUAACCACUUAAAAAAUAAUCCUGCUGGAAAACAAAU